CUAGAACGCAAGAUGACAUGAUUUUAACUGCGAGUAUUGAUUACAUUUGACGUGUCAUAAAAUGUAGGUACCUUUUUUCGCUUUAAAUUUAUUAUAAUCAACAGUUAAGUGAUCUAAACAUUCCAUGUCAAUAUUAUUUUUUGUUAACUCAUGCACAAAAAAGAAAGAACAUUAUUAGAGUGUGGCAACACCAAACAAAACAGUGACAAAACAUACCAAAAGGACAUUCAAACUCAAAACUGAAAACAUCAGACAUGGCUAAAUAAGAUAAAGACCAAUAUACAAGCAUGGAAAACAACGGUACACGAAACACAAUAAAGAAUAACAUGAAUAACCAAAGACUGUUCAUCAGUUAAAACAGUUGACUUUAACAAUACAAAUAAGUACAUGUAGCUUUUCGGUAGUUCCAAUACAAGCAGCAACAUUCAGUAUACAAGAUAAUACUGUAAGGACGUACAGUUUAAAUUUUGUUUCAGUGAGAUUCAUUUUGUGUUAUGGUGGAUAGGGGUGGGUUAUUAAAAUCCAUAGCCCUGUUGGCCAAAAGCAAAGCAAAUAAUGUAUGUCUAUUUUCCAGUAAGAUAUUUUCUUAUUUGUUCAGCAAUUAUAGUUUAGAAUAUCAUGGAAGCAAAGUCUGAUUGGCAAAUAGGGAAAUCACUCUCCGAUCGAAUGAAGUAUAUGCUGAACAACCAACUGAUGUGUGACGUCACCUUCCACGUGGGAACAGACAAGACACCAAUCCAGGCUCAUAAAUAUAUGCUGGCUAGUUCCAGUCCUGUAUUCUACAGCAUGUUUGAAGGACCACUGGCAGAGAAAGGAAUUAUUGAAAUAGUUGAUAUAGAACCGGAAUAUUUUAAUAUGAUCUUGCAGUAAGUUACAAUUAUAGUGCUUUGUAUUGUUUAACUAAUCAUUUCCCCUAAAAAGUCGUUCUAAUGGUGACCUUAUGCGCCCGAAAAAAGCGUCAAGUUAUCUACCUAGAUAAAGUGUGUAUGGGUAUAUAAUAAAAUCUAAGAUUCCUACAAUGAUGCAAUACAGAUUACUGGAAGCUAGUAUGCUUGCGCUUUUUCCAAGCGCCUGCAUACGGAAUAUAUAUCUCCCAAUUGAAACCAUAUUUCCGCGCCUGUAUUCCGUAUUAUGAUUUCCUUGAUAAAGGGUUGCUGCUCACAAGGAAGCUAUUAAACCAAGAGUUCCAAAUGGUGAUGUUGAAAUCCUCCCUUCGUAAAUUUUACGAACGCCAUCACGAGUUGGUUGACCGUUAUGGAAUAACCGUUUCACAAAUGAUAUCGGAUAUGUUCCUGACGUCGUAACUACAAUCCCCUUCCCUUUCAUGAAUGUGACCUAACGAAUUAGACUAUUUACCGGAAAUGUUAUAACAUGAGCAACACGAUUGGAUCUGCUUACCCUUCUGUAGCACCUGACAUUAGUUUUUGAUUGGGUUCCUGUUGUUUAUUCUUUAGUUUUCUAUGUUGUGUCAUGUGUACUAUUGUUUGUCGUUUUCAUUUUUAGCCAUGGCGUUGUCAGUUUAUUUUCGGUUUAUGAGUGUGACUGUCCCUCUUGUAUCUUUCGUCCCUUUUUUUCAGUUAGGAAAACUGAAAGCAAAGAGUUUGAUUCUAUUUUAUAGUUUAUAUAAUAUUGAAUAACAAAGAUAUACGUACACAUGGCAUUGGAACUAAGAACAUGAAUAGAUGAAUAAAUUUUCCAAUCGGUCUGAUUAAAAAAAAUAAAAGAUUGAAGCAAAAGAUACCAAAGAGAAAAACUGAUAAGUCGCACAUAAACUGACAAUGCAAUGACAUACAUGUACAACGAACAAAGACAAAACUCAAACAACAGUAUACAAAAUACAACAAAACACCGAAGACUGAUCAACACGAAACCCAAAAAUUGAGGGUGAUAAAAAAUAAUCAUACAAUUUCAGUCCUAAUCAGUGGAAAGAGUCGAAUUAACUGUUUGUGAUAUUUUUCAUAGAAUAAUUCCAAAUCAAACUUCAAACAUUUUCCUUAGAGCUAUAUAACAAAUACAGACGUGCAUGUAGAUACCCUAUGCAACAUACAAUGAAAUGAAAUGUGAAGAUAAAAAUACUGGUGGUAUACGGACUACAACGCAGUUAAAUAUAGUAAUGUAAACAUGGUAAAGGAAUUAACACUUCUCUCUACAAUAUUUUCUUUUCCCGCAGGUUUAUAUAUACAGAUAAGAUUACUAUGGAUUAUUUCAACGUAAAGAACAUUUUAUAUGGAUCAGAAAAGUAUAUGCUACAACUGUUAAAAGAUGAGUGCAAUGCAUUUUUAGCUUCACAUGUGAAUGUGGAUCAUGCAUGUCUUGUUUUACAAGCAGCACACGACUUCAACAUGAAAGACUUAGAAACGAAAGUAUUGAAUUUCAUUUUCAUCCACGGAAGUGAAGUUCUUGAUUCAAAAGAUUUCAGAAAUUUGUCAGCGGAAUGUCUUAAACUAUUACUUGUUUCUGAUAAACUCCGCUGUGAAGAGGAAUACAUUUACCAAAAAAUGCUACAUUGGGGUAUACAAAAAUGCAAUGACAAAAGUUUAGCGACAACAGACGAGAAUAUACGAGAAUGUCUCGGUGAUUUGUUAUAUCUCAUUCGUUUUCCAGUCAUGAGACCACAGUAUUUUACAGAAGAUGUUUCUUGCAAAAGUUUACUAACCGCGACCGAGAAAGUAAAAGUGUAUCAACAUUUUAAUUAUAAGACCACCGAUAUUUUCCCUUCACACAAUCGCAUGUCUAAAAUUAAGUUUGAAACUGGUGUUGGAAGAAGGCGGAAAUGGAAAACUGAACAUACACCGAAACCGG
This 2802-nucleotide long non-coding RNA is filed under the name Mytilus galloprovincialis (Mediterranean mussel). The record is from RNAcentral. Lineage: Eukaryota; Metazoa; Mollusca; Bivalvia; Mytilida; Mytilidae.